Molecule: unclassified non-coding RNA, 218 nt
Filed under: Hevea brasiliensis (rubber tree)
Lineage: Eukaryota; Viridiplantae; Streptophyta; Magnoliopsida; Malpighiales; Euphorbiaceae
Source: RNAcentral
GUAAUUAGAGAAUAGAUUCAUUCCUCUUUGCAGUGAAGCAGGAAACUGCAAGAACUUUACGAGACAAGAAAACGAUGUCGUCGAAGCGGAGUCAUACGACGGAGCUAGGCUGCGUAGCUUGCCAGGAGCUGGGCGACCUUGGUGCAGGAAAGGAAAGGUGGCUGGUCGAAAACCCUAACCUUCUCUGCGCUCUUGACACCCAUUCCCUUGCCCUCGCA